ACGAACGCUGGCGGCGUGCUUAACACAUGCAAGUCGAACGGAAAGGCCCUGCUUGCAGGGUACUCGAGUGGCGAACGGGUGAGUAACACGUGGGUGAUCUGCCCUGCACUUCGGGAUAAGCCUGGGAAACUGGGUCUAAUACCGGAUAGGAGCCAUUUUUAGUGUGAUGGUUGGAAAGUUUUUUCGGUGUAGGAUGAGCUCGCGGCCUAUCAGCUUGUUGGUGGGGUAAUGGCCUACCAAGGCGGCGACGGGUAGCCGGCCUGAGAGGGUGGACGGCCACAUUGGGACUGAGACACGGCCCAGACUCCUACGGGAGGCAGCAGUGGGGAAUAUUGCACAAUGGGCGCAAGCCUGAUGCAGCGACGCCGCGUGGGGGAUGACGGCCUUCGGGUUGUAAACUCCUUUCGCUAGGGACGAAGCUUUUUGUGACGGUACCUAGAUAAGAAGCACCGGCUAACUACGUG
This 464-nucleotide ribosomal RNA is filed under the name uncultured bacterium. RNAcentral's name for it is "partial 16S ribosomal RNA". It matches the Rfam family "Bacterial small subunit ribosomal RNA", at positions 29 to 507 of the family's 1533-position model. The record is from RNAcentral.